RNAcentral lists this non-coding RNA (23 nucleotides) under Cricetulus griseus (Chinese hamster). Lineage: Eukaryota; Metazoa; Chordata; Mammalia; Rodentia; Cricetidae. The record is from RNAcentral.
CAAAAUGGAGCUGAGGGUGUGGA